AGAGUUUGAUCCUGGCUCAGGAUGAACGCUAGCGGCAGGCCUAAUACAUGCAAGUCGAGGGGUAGUGGUUGCUUGCAACCAUGAGACCGGCGCACGGGUGCGUAACGCGUAUGCAACCUACCUCUAUCUGGGGGAUAGCCCGGAGAAAUCCGGAUUAACACCGCAUAAAAUCACAGUACGGCAUCGUACAAUGAUCAAAUAUUUAUAGGAUGGAGAUGGGCAUGCGUGUCAUUAGUUAGUUGGCGGGGUAACGGCCCACCAAGACCGCGAUGACUAGGGGAUCUGAGAGGAUGACCCCCCACACUGGUACUGAGACACGGACCAGACUCCUACGGGAGGCAGCAGUAAGGAAUAUUGGUCAAUGGGGGCAACCCUGAACCAGCCAUGCCGCGUGCAGGAAGACGGCCCUCUGGGUUGUAAACUGCUUUUAUUCGGGAAUAAACCUGCUUACGUGUAGGCAGCUGAAUGUACCGAAGGAAUAAGGAUCGGCUAACUCCGUGCCAGCAGCCGCGGUAAUACGGAGGAUCCAAGCGUUAUCCGGAUUUAUUGGGUUUAAAGGGUGCGUAGGCGGCCUGUUAAGUCAGGGGUGAAAGACGGUAGCUCAACUAUCGCAGUGCCCUUGAUACUGAUGGGCUUGAAUGGACUAGAGGUAGGCGGAAUGUGACAAGUAGCGGUGAAAUGCAUAGAUAUGUCACAGAACACCGAUUGCGAAGGCAGCUUACUAUGGUCUUAUUGACGCUGAGGCACGAAAGCGUGGGGAUCAAACAGGAUUAGAUACCCUGGUAGUCCACGCCCUAAACGAUGAAUACUCGCUGUUGGCGAUACACAGUCAGCGGCUAAGCGAAAGCGUUAAGUAUUCCACCUGGGGAGUACGCCCGCAAGGGUGAAACUCAAAGGAAUUGACGGGGGCCCGCACAAGCGGAGGAGCAUGUGGUUUAAUUCGAUGAUACGCGAGGAACCUUACCCGGGCUUGAAAGUU
RNAcentral lists this ribosomal RNA (979 nucleotides) under feces metagenome. Its description in RNAcentral is "bacterial SSU rRNA". It matches the Rfam family "Bacterial small subunit ribosomal RNA", at positions 8 to 989 of the family's 1533-position model. The record is from RNAcentral.